UACGUAGGGGGCAAGCGUUGUCCGGAAUCAUUGGGCGUAAAGCGCGUGUAGGCGGUCCGGUAAGUCCGCUGUGAAAGUCGGGGGCUCAACCCUCGGAUGCCGGUGGAUACUGUCGGGCUUGAGUACGGAAGAGGCGAGUGGAAUUCCUGGUGUAGCGGUGAAAUGCGCAGAUAUCAGGAGGAACACCAAUUGCGAGGGCAGCUCGCUGGGACGUUACUGACGCUGAGACGCGAAAGCGUGGGGAGCAAACAGG
RNAcentral lists this ribosomal RNA (253 nucleotides) under uncultured bacterium. RNAcentral describes it as "partial 16S ribosomal RNA". It matches the Rfam family "Bacterial small subunit ribosomal RNA", at positions 524 to 776 of the family's 1533-position model. The record is from RNAcentral.